This 763-nucleotide ribosomal RNA is filed under the name bacterium. RNAcentral describes it as "bacterial SSU rRNA". It matches the Rfam family "Bacterial small subunit ribosomal RNA", at positions 38 to 790 of the family's 1533-position model. The record is from RNAcentral.
GGCAGGGAGCGCAGCUACACAUGCAGUCGAACGGUAGCACAGAGAGCUUGCUCUCGGGUGACGAGUGGCGGACGGGUGAGUAAUGUCUGGGAAACUGCCUGAUGGAGGGGGAUAACUACUGGAAACGGUAGCUAAUACCGCAUAACGUCUUCGGACCAAAGAGGGGGACCUUCGGGCCUCUUGCCAUCGGAUGUGCCCAGAUGGGAUUAGCUAGUAGGUGGGGUAACGGCUCACCUAGGCGACGAUCCCUAGCUGGUCUGAGAGGAUGACCAGCCACACUGGAACUGAGACACGGUCCAGACUCCUACGGGAGGCAGCAGUGGGGAAUAUUGCACAAUGGGCGCAAGCCUGAUGCAGCCAUGCCGCGUGUAUGAAGAAGGCCUUCGGGUUGUAAAGUACUUUCAGCGGGGAGGAAGGGAGUGAGGUUAAUAACCUCAUUCAUUGACGUUACCCGCAGAAGAAGCACCGGCUAACUCCGUGCCAGCAGCCGCGGUAAUACGGAGGGUGCAAGCGUUAAUCGGAAUUACUGGGCGUAAAGCGCACGCAGGCGGUCUGUCAAGUCGGAUGUGAAAUCCCCGGGCUCAACCCGGGAACUGCAUUCGAAACUGGCAGACUCGAGUCUUGUAGAGGGGGGUAGAAUUCCAGGUGUAGCGGUGAAAUGCGUAGAGAUCUGGAGGAAUACCGGUGGCGAAGGCGGCCCCCUGGACAAAGACUGACGCUCAGGUGCGAAAGCGUGGGGAGCAAACAGGAUUAGAACCCCUGG